CUGUCUGUGUAUAUGUUUUUGUGUGGGGAGUAUUGCUGACUGUAGUUGUUGUGUCUCAGUGUGUAUGUUUGUGUGUCUAGGUAUAUGGAUGAAAAAUAUUUUCCUACCUCUGGAUAGUAUUAAUAAAAAUUGAUUUAAAAACAAGUGCUUGUGAAAAUUGGGCAUUCUAAAACUUCCAGAAAAUCUGAUAAAAAAUGUUAAGCAUUAAUGCUAAUUUGGGUUUGGCUGAGGUGGGCAUGUCCUUGUGGUUAUCAGCUGCCUAAGUUUACCUAAGGUCAUUUAAGUGGAUGUUAUCUGCUAAAUCUUUUAAUAAUAAAAUGCUUAAGGCUUAGCUUUGUCUAAUAUUCAGUAGAGGUCUUAUAAGUAAUCUAGCAUAAUUGUUAUGAAUGAGUGAACUAAAUAAGUGUGGCAAGUGAACAAACACCUUUAUAAUUGUGUGUUACAGUAUGUAUACCUAUCUACAACCUAGAAAUCUUUGUGGUAACCUAAAACCUUAAAGGUUUGCUAAGUUAGAAAGACAUACUUUGUGCUUAGUGAGAGAUUGUGUUGUAAAGCUCAUGGUUAACAGAAAUUAUAAAAUGUUCAUAAAUUUUUCAAUCUAAAGAAUGCUAGUGUAACAGUUUAUAAUAGCCUACUUCUCAGUGUUCACUAAAAAUUAAGGUACCUAAUGGUUUUAAGUUCUAAUUAAAACUACUUAAAGUAAUAAGGAAAACAUUUCUGCAUGCUAAAGAAUGUGUCUUUUGAUAAAAGAAAGUAAUUGUUCUAAAGUACAGCUGUUUAUUUAGAGAGAGAAAUCUAAAUGAAAAAGAAGGUUGUAGAAAGUUUGUAGAAUUUAAUAUAGUCAUGCUAUAUAAAAUUAAAGCAAAGAAGUAUCAAUAUCAAGUACACAGCAAAAUUAGUAUUUUGUUUUCAGUUAAAAAGACAAAGUUUUCUUACUGUUAGUCUGCUCUUAAUGUUGAAAUAUUGCAAAAAGUUCUCUAAUUGUUUAAUCAAAGCAGUUUCUCAUACUUAAAGUCUCAGUAAGGUGUCAGAGUAUUUAAGAAAAUGAGAUCUUAAUAUUAAAAAGACUAAAAGUUAAACUUUGCUAACAACUGUGUAACCUUCUUUAUUUGCCUUUGAACUACUUUGUUGUCAUUCUAGUUAAAUGGGUAAGUAUUGCUUCAUAGCAACCUAUAAUCCUAUUUAAGCAAGUGCCAAAGAAACUUUCUUCUGACAACUUCCCAAAAUCAAAUUCAGAAAGGUACUUUUACCUCUAGUUAACUCUGAUAUUUUCCAGAGGGCCCCUGGAGCAUGUCAGAGAAACAUUUUCUCAUUGGAGGGAAUAUUUAGCUAAUUUGGCUUAUUUAUCUGAUAUAUAUUUACCUAAAAAGCAUUGUCAAAAAGAAUGAUGCUAAUUAUGACAACUGUCUUACAGUAAGCUCUCAUCAGAUCUUUAACCAUUGUCAUUUGUAAAUCUUUUGUCAUCUAUACUCACUGUUUAUUAUGCCUAAACUAGUAAGAAACUAGAUUUCAGCAGAACAGGUAUUAGUUACAUAAGAUUAAGUAAACUAAAGAAGAUGAUUUUGUAACUUUUUGUUUCAAAUGUUGAUAAAGUGUUUUAAGCUUUUUCUCUUAAGCUGACAACAGUUUAGUAAAUGACUGCCUUUAUAAGCAGAAUUGAAACUUUAUCUUUCUCUCUACCUGAUCCCUCCAGAAUUUAAAAACUCUCAGUGACCAUUUUUAUAUUUCAUGGCAAUAUGUUUAUUUGCAGAAGUUCAAUAAAAAUCUGCUUUCCUUGUAAGAAGACUAAUUAAAAACACUGGUUAUAUUACCAAAGCUUUGACUAGAACGUCAUACCCGAGAGACAUGUGUGUAAACUCAGAUAUGGACAGACAGCUUUAAGGAACUAAGAUUGACUUUAUAAAGCCAACAAAGCCCCUUAGAAGAACUGGCCUAGUACCUUGCUUACAGAGUUCCCAGCAGCCUUACCAGAAGCCACAAAACUGCUAAUAGUAAUAGAAAUGAAACCCAGAAUAGAAGCGCUAACCUUCUGAGGCCCUCUCAACUGACCAGUGAUGGAGACCUAGCUGCACCCUUUACUGCGCCCCCUCUCAGCACGAAGCAGCCAGAGCGGUCAUCACCCCUUUUCCCUAGCAGCAGCUAGAGUCUCUAUCUGUAGA
Molecule: long non-coding RNA, 2159 nt
Organism: Manis pentadactyla (Chinese pangolin)
Lineage: Eukaryota; Metazoa; Chordata; Mammalia; Pholidota; Manidae
Exons: 2
Source: RefSeq, a predicted model, not a curated record